CUACGGGCCGCACCAGUGGGGAAUAUUGCACAAUGGAGGAAACUCUGAUGCAGCAACGCCGCGUGGAGGAUGACGCAUUUCGGUGUGUAAACUCCUUUUAUAUGGGAAGAUAAUGACGGUACCAUAUGAAUAAGCACCGGCUAACUCCGUGCCAGCAGCCGCGGUAAUACGGAGGGUGCAAGCGUUACUCGGAAUCACUGGGCGUAAAGCGCGCGCAGGCGGCUAGAUAAGUUGGAAGUGAAAUCCUAUGGCUCAACCAUAGAACUGCUUCCAAAACUGUUUAGCUAGAGUCUGGGAGGGGAAGAUGGAAUUAGUAGUGUAGGGGUAAAAUCCGUAGAGAUUACUAGGAAUACCAAAAGCGAAGGCGAUCUUCUGGAACAGUACUGACGCUGAGGCGCGAAAGCGUGGGGAGCAAACAGGAUUAGAUACCCGAGUAGUC
Molecule: ribosomal RNA, 439 nt
Filed under: uncultured bacterium
Lineage: Bacteria
Description: partial 16S ribosomal RNA
Rfam family: Bacterial small subunit ribosomal RNA
Source: RNAcentral